UAUGUGAUCGUCUCUCGCAUAUCAAUAAGCGGAGGAAAAGAAACUAACAAGGAUUCCCCUAGUAACGGCGAGUGAAGCGGGAAGAGCUCAAAUUUGAAAUCUUAAAGGGUUUCCCUUUACGAAUUGUAGUUUAAAGAAGUGUUUUCUGUUGAGGUUUUGGUAAAAGUUCUUUGGAAUAGGACAUCAUAGAGGGUGAGAAUCCCGUAUUUGACCUUUACUUUCAACUUUGUGAUACACUUUCAAAGAGUCGGAUUGUUUGGGAAUGCAGUCCAAAAUGGGUGGUAAAUUUCAUCUAAAACUAAAUAUUGGCGAGAGACCGAUAGCGAACAAGUACCGUGAGGGAAAGAUGAAAAGAACUUUGAAAAGAGAGUUAAACAGUACGUGAAAUUGUCAAAAGGGAAGCGUUUGACACCAGUGUUGUUUUUCUGAAAAUCAAUUAAAGAACUGUUUAUGCUAAGCUGUUUAGACUUUAUCAGCUAUCUGUUUAGUUUUGAGCUUUUCUUUAAUGCACUUUUCAGUUAACAAGUCAACAUCAAUUUCUUUUGCUGUAAAAAAGCUUGAGGAAGGUGGCUUGAGAUUCGUCUUAAGUGUUUAUAGCCUCUUGCCUAUGCAGUCGGAGAGAUUGAGGUCUGCAGCGUAGAUCCUUCGGGGCUAAAUGCAUUUGUGCUAAGUUAUAGCAUUUUAUAGACAACUUGUUGACUAUGAUUUGUCUUGUAGCUUACUCGCUUAUGUUAUUUUACCUACGCUUAGGAUGUUGAUAUCGCGCUCUCACUG
This 774-nucleotide ribosomal RNA is filed under the name uncultured Neocallimastigales. RNAcentral's name for it is "partial large subunit ribosomal RNA". It matches the Rfam family "Eukaryotic large subunit ribosomal RNA", at positions 24 to 645 of the family's 3401-position model. Lineage: Eukaryota; Fungi; Neocallimastigomycota; Neocallimastigomycetes; Neocallimastigales. The record is from RNAcentral.